GGCGGACACGCAUGCGUCGGUCGUUAUCCUCGAUCGUCGCCGUCGAGCGGGAACCCGGUGAGAGUCCGGGGCGGUCCCGCCGCCGUGACCGGGUCCGCGGGCCCGGGAGCCGGACCUCGCCGUCGGCGCGGAACCCAC
This 138-nucleotide non-coding RNA is filed under the name Pseudonocardia sp. Lineage: Bacteria; Bacillati; Actinomycetota; Actinomycetes; Pseudonocardiales; Pseudonocardiaceae. The record is from RNAcentral.